GACGAACGCUGGCGGCGUGCUUAACACAUGCAAGUCGAACGGUGAAGCGCCUUCCUUUUUGGUGGGUGUGGAUGAGUGGCGAACGGGUGAGUAACACGUGAGUAACCUGCCCCCUUCUUCUGGAUAACCGCAUGAAAGUGUGGCUAAUACGGGAUAUUCUGGGUCUGUCGCAUGAUGGGUCUGGGAAAGAUAUUGUUUCGGUGGGGGAUGGGCUCGCGGCCUAUCAGCUUGUUGGUGGGGUGAUGGCCUACCAAGGCGGUGACGGGUAGCCGGCCUGAGAGGGUGGACGGUCACACUGGGACUGAGACACGGCCCAGACUCAUACGGGAGGCAGCAGUGGGGAAUAUUGCACAAUGGGCGAAAGCCUGAUGCAGCGACGCCGCGUGAGGGAUGGAGGCCUUAGGGUUGUGAACCUCUUUCGCCAGUGAAGCAGGCCUGCCUCGUUUGUGGGUGGGUUGACGGUAGCUGGAUAAGAAGCGCCGGCUAACUACGUG
RNAcentral lists this ribosomal RNA (494 nucleotides) under uncultured bacterium. RNAcentral describes it as "partial 16S ribosomal RNA". It matches the Rfam family "Bacterial small subunit ribosomal RNA", at positions 28 to 507 of the family's 1533-position model. The record is from RNAcentral.